UACGCUGGCGGCGUGCCUAAUACAUGCAAGUCGAACGAACUCUGGUAUUGAUUGGUGCUUGCAUCAUGAUUUACAUUUGAGUGAGUGGCGAACUGGUGAGUAACACGUGGGAAACCUGCCCAGAAGCGGGGGAUAACACCUGGAAACAGAUGCUAAUACCGCAUAACAACUUGGACCGCAUGGUCCGAGYUUGAAAGAUGGCUUCGGCUAUCACUUUUGGAUGGUCCCGCGGCGUAUUAGCUAGAUGGUGGGGUAACGGCUCACCAUGGCAAUGAUACGUAGCCGACCUGAGAGGGUAAUCGGCCACAUUGGGACUGAGACACGGCCCAAACUCCUACGGGAGGCAGCAGUAGGGAAUCUUCCACAAUGGACGAAAGUCUGAUGGAGCAACSCCGCGUGAGUGAAGAAGGGUUUCGGCUCGUAAAACUCUGUUGUUAAAGAAGAACAUAUCUGAGAGUAACUGUUCAGGUAUUGACGGUAUUUAACCAGAAAGCCACGGCUAACUACGUGCCAGCAGCCGCGGUAAUACGUAGGUGGCAAGCGUUGUCCGGAUUUAUUGGGCGUAAAGCGAGCGCAGGCGGUUUUUUAAGUCUGAUGUGAAAGCCUUCGGCUCAACCGAAGAAGUGCAUCGGAAACUGGGAAACUUGAGUGCAGAAGAGGACAGUGGAACUCCAUGUGUAGCGGUGAAAUGCGUAGAUAUAUGGAAGAACACCAGUGGCGAAGGCGGCUGUCUGGUCUGUAACUGACGCUGAGGCUCGAAAGUAUGGGUAGCAAACAGGAUUAGAUACCCUGGUAGUCCAUACCGUAAACGAUGAAUGCUAAGUGUUGGAGGGUUUCCGCCCUUCAGUGCUGCAGCUAACGCAUUAAGCAUUCCGCCUGGGGAGUACGGCCGCAAGGCUGAAACUCAAAGGAAUUGACGGGGGCCCGCACAAGCGGUGGAGCAUGUGGUUUAAUUCGAAGCUACGCGAAGAACCUUACCAGGUCUUGACAUACUAUGCAAAUCUAAGAGAUUAGACGUUCCCUUCGGGGACAUGGAUACAGGUGGUGCAUGGUUGUCGUCAGCUCGUGUCGUGAGAUGUUGGGUUAAGUCCCGCAACGAGCGCAACCCUUAUUAUCAGUUGCCAGCAUUAAGUUGGGCACUCUGGUGAGACUGCCGGUGACAAACCGGAGGAAGGUGGGGAUGACGUCAAAUCAUCAUGCCCCUUAUGACCUGGGCUACACACGUGCUACAAUGGAUGGUACAACGAGUUGCGAACUCGCGAGAGUAAGCUAAUCUCUUAAAGCCAUUCUCAGUUCGGAUUGUAGGCUGCAACUCGCCUACAUGAAGUCGGAAUCGCUAGUAAUCGCGGAUCAGCAUGCCGCGGUGAAUACGUUCCCGGGCCUUGUACACACCGCCCGUCACACCAUGAGAGUUUGUAACACCCAAAGUCGGUC
Molecule: ribosomal RNA, 1434 nt
Filed under: Lactiplantibacillus plantarum
Lineage: Bacteria; Bacillati; Bacillota; Bacilli; Lactobacillales; Lactobacillaceae
Description: bacterial SSU rRNA
Source: RNAcentral